RNAcentral lists this ribosomal RNA (1309 nucleotides) under uncultured prokaryote. RNAcentral's name for it is "partial 16S ribosomal RNA". It matches the Rfam family "Archaeal small subunit ribosomal RNA", at positions 21 to 1338 of the family's 1478-position model. The record is from RNAcentral.
CCUGACUGCUAUCGGAUUGAUACUAAGCCAUGCGAGUCAUUGUAGCAAUACAAGGCAUACUGCUCAGUAACACGUGGAUAACCUGCCCUACACUGGGGGAUAAUCUCGGGAAACUGAGCAUAAUACCCCAUAGACCACUACGCCUGGAACGGUGAGUGGUUGAAAGCUUCGGCGGUGUAGGAUGGGUCUGCGGCGUAUCAGGUUGUAGGGGGUGUAAUGGACCUCCUAGCCAUCGACGCGUACGGGUUGUGGGAGCAAUAGCCCGGAGACGGAUUCUGAGACACGAAUCCGGACCCUACGGGGUGCAGCAGGCGCGAAAACUUCACACUGCAGGAAACUGUGAUGAGGGAACUCCAAGUGACUGCACAAUGUGUAGCCUUUUCUUGAAUUUUAAUAGUUCUUGGAAUAAGGGCUGGGAAAGACCGGUGCCAGCCGCCGCGGUAAUACCGGCAGCUCGAGUGGUCGUCGCUUUUAUUGGGCCUAAAACGUCCGUAGCCUGUUUGGUAAAUCUGUGGGUAAAUCAAUCCGCUUAACGGAUUGAAUUCUGCAGAGACUGCCAGACUAGGGACCGGGAGAGGUAUGAGGUACUCUGGGGGUAGGGGUAAAAUCCUGUCAUCCUCAGAGGACCACCUGUUGCGAAGGCGUCAUACUGGAACGGAUCCGACGGUCAGGGACGAAGCCUAGGGGCACGAACCGGAUUAGAUACCCGGGUAGUCCUAGGUGUAAACGCUGUGGAUUUGGUGUGUGGGGUCCGCAAUGGGCCCCAUGUGCCGGAGUGAAGAUGUUAAAUCCACUGCCUGGGGAGUACGGUCGCAAGGCUGAAACUUAAAGGAAUUGGCGGGGGAGCACCACAAGGGGUGAAGCCUGCGGUUCAAUUGGAGUCAACGCCAGAAAUCUUACCCGGAGAGACAGCAGAAUGAAGGUCAAGCUGAAGACUUUACCAGACAAGCUGAGAGGUGGUGCAUGGCCGUCGCCAGCUCGUGCCGUGAGAUGUCCUGUUAAGUCAGGUAACGAGCGAGAUCCCUGCCUCUAGUUGCCACCAUUACUCUCAGGAGUAGUGGGGCGAAUUAGCGGGACCGCCGCAGUUAAUGCGGAGGAAGGAAGGGGCCACGGCAGGUCAGUAUGCCCCGAAACUCUGGGGCCACACGCGGGCUGCAAUGGUAAUGACAAUGGGUUCCAAAUCCGAAAGGAGGAGGUAAUCCCCAAACAUUACCACAGUUAUGACUGAGGGCUGCAACUCGCCCUCACGAAUAUGGAAUCCCUAGUAACUGCGUGUCAUUAUCGCGCGGUGAAUACGUCCCUGCUCCUU